UCUGGAGGCCGCCUGGGCGCCCUGGUCUCUCUUUCCACCUCCAGGGAGGUGUGUUUGAACCUGUCUGAGCCAAUAGACUCCACGAGCCACAGGGUGCUCCCCGAGCAGGGCGUCUGCCAAGGCAAGGAAGCAGUCUCAGAGGUCGGGUGACACCGCGCCUUCAGACGGGCCCACGGUUCAUCCCCAGCUCCAACCAGUGGAAUCGCUCUGCUCCUAAAGCCACGAAGACAGCGCAGGAAAGGAAACGCACACCCGACCGUCCCCCAGGAAACACGGGCCGCGCGCUGCACACUGCGUCACCACACUGACGACCAAACACGUCUGCGCCUGGCAGUCUUCCGCGUCAGCACCCUGCGGGGGACAGGGACCAGGCCCGUCCAGCCUGCAGCUCACUGCGGGGGACGUGAGGCUGAUUUCAUUGAGGGCGCCGCAGCACGGGGACCGCCCCAGGUCGGGUGAUGGAGGGAAUGGCCUCAACUCCACGGUGACGAUUCUGUUUGAAGACACUCUCAGCCGCCAGGCUCAGAGGUGAUGCAGGAGGAUCAAGGCCCGCCUGGGCACCUUAGCCAGGCGCUGUCUCCACGCGCAAUGGAAAGGGCUGGCGGGGGGCCUCCUGGGCUCCAUCCCCAGCACAGAGCAGUAAAAAGGCUCAGAGGGGAUUUUCUUAAAAUGGUCAAGAGCAUCUGCCAGCGCUUCCCGCACCCACCACGUGGGGUGCCAUCGAGGUUGAAGCAGAGCGGGGGCUGAAACCUGUGUGUGCAGAUGGAGCCCAGUGCCGGGCAGAGCUGCUGGGGAGGCCCAGGGCGGCUGUCCAGGUGGGUGGGCUCUGGUGGGUAGGAACUCACUGCUGCGCACCAGGGCGGGCCCCUGAGGCCUGGGAAGCACGUUCUCAGCCUCUACCUUCCCCUGCUUGCGCCCCAUCCCACCUGAGCUGAGCUAGAAGCUCAAGGGGCAUCAUGUGUGAGAGGUCACACUACCCAAUGGUGGACACAGCUGCCCAAGGUCAGAGGCUGGACAAGUCCCUCACCUUCUGGCUAAUGGCCAGACCAUGGCCCUGGGCAGGACUGGCUGCCACCAUGCUCUGAGCCCGGCAGGGCCCACCACGGUCGCUGACCCAGGCCUGCGGUGCACCCGGAGUGGGGAGCCAGGUGCUGGCCAGGCUGGAGUGGACGAGAUGGUGAUUUUCAUAAGGUUGGAGGCAGAACAAGGGGACCUCAGUCUGCAGCUGAGGUCGGGCCCAGAGGGUUCCUAGAGGCAGGAGCCCACGAUCGUCCUGGACAGUGUCCAGCACUGGAGUGCUGGUCGAGGCGGUCCCAGCGCCAGCAGGUCUCGGCCUCCUGUAAACGGUGGUGUUGUUUGCAAGGGACGCCUUGUGGCACAUAGAGAUCCAGAAGGGGCGGCUCCAGGCCCUCCGAAAGUCCCACCACGAGGAGGCAGAGGCCAGGGGCAGGAGCGUCCAGGUGCACGAGGCCCAGCAGCUCUUCAAGGAGAAGGAAGCCUUGGAGAAGGCGGACAAGAACCAGCAGCUGAGGGUCCGGAAGUCCUUGCAAGUGCAGAAGGGGCUGGGACUCCGACACCGGACGCUGGUGGAAGAGGCCCAGAGGAACCACAAGGUGGCCGUCAAGUUCCUGAAGGCCUCCCUGGGACGGUGCGU
Molecule: non-coding RNA, 1654 nt
Organism: Ictidomys tridecemlineatus (thirteen-lined ground squirrel)
Lineage: Eukaryota; Metazoa; Chordata; Mammalia; Rodentia; Sciuridae
Source: RefSeq, a predicted model, not a curated record